Molecule: ribosomal RNA, 319 nt
Filed under: uncultured eukaryote
Lineage: Eukaryota
Description: partial 18S ribosomal RNA
Rfam family: Eukaryotic small subunit ribosomal RNA
Source: RNAcentral
CCCUUAGAUGUUCUGGGCCGCACGCGCGCUACACUGGUCUUCGCAAACGGAUGCAUUCUCGAAGGAGAAUGCCAAUCUUGGAAUCUAUGCCUUGGUCGGGACAGUUGCUUGCAAUUUUUCGACUCGAACCAGGAAUUCCUUGUAAUCGUGAUUCAUCACAUCACGAUGAAUACGUCCCUGCCCUUUGUACACACCGCCCGUCGCUCCUACCGAUCGAAGAGUUAGGUGAAUUGUUUUGAUCGAUAAGAUUUGACUAUGGUCAACUCUCGUUGUGAAAUUCUGUGAAUCUGACUGUUUAGAGGAAGGAAAAGUCGUAACA